Molecule: non-coding RNA, 22 nt
Filed under: Arabidopsis thaliana (thale cress)
Lineage: Eukaryota; Viridiplantae; Streptophyta; Magnoliopsida; Brassicales; Brassicaceae
Source: RNAcentral
UAUUUGGAUUAUUCUUUAGCGC